Molecule: ribosomal RNA, 253 nt
Filed under: uncultured bacterium
Lineage: Bacteria
Description: partial 16S ribosomal RNA
Rfam family: Bacterial small subunit ribosomal RNA
Source: RNAcentral
GACAGAGGGUGCUAGCGUUGUUCGGAAUGACUGGGCGUAAAGGGCGCGUAGGCGGCUAAUCAAGUCAGAUGUGAAAGCCCCGGGCUUAACCUGGGAUGUGCAUUUGAUACUGGUUGGCUGGAGUACGAGAGAGGAAAGUGGAAUUCCUAGUGUAGAGGUGAAAUUCGUAGAUAUUAGGAGGAACACCAGAGGCGAAGGCGGCUUUCUGGCUCGUAACUGACGCUGAGGCGCGAAAGCGUGGGGAGCAAACAGG